AUUGAACGCUGGCGGCAGGCCUAACACAUGCAAGUCGAGCGGAUGAAGGGAGCUUGCUCCUGGAUUCAGCGGCGGACGGGUGAGUAAUGCCUAGGAAUCUGCCUGGUAGUGGGGGAUAACGUCCGGAAACGGGCGCUAAUACCGCAUACGUCCUGAGGGAGAAAGUGGGGGAUCUUCGGACCUCACGCUAUCAGAUGAGCCUAGGUCGGAUUAGCUAGUUGGUGGGGUAAAGGCCUACCAAGGCGACGAUCCGUAACUGGUCUGAGAGGAUGAUCAGUCACACUGGAACUGAGACACGGUCCAGACUCCUACGGGAGGCAGCAGUGGGGAAUAUUGGACAAUGGGCGAAAGCCUGAUCCAGCCAUGCCGCGUGUGUGAAGAAGGUCUUCGGAUUGUAAAGCACUGUAAGUUGGGAGGAAGGGCAGUAAGUUAAUACCUUGCUAUUUUGACGUUACCAACAGAGUAAGCACCGGCUAACUUCGUG
RNAcentral lists this ribosomal RNA (484 nucleotides) under uncultured bacterium. RNAcentral's name for it is "partial 16S ribosomal RNA". It matches the Rfam family "Bacterial small subunit ribosomal RNA", at positions 30 to 507 of the family's 1533-position model. The record is from RNAcentral.